This 1508-nucleotide unclassified non-coding RNA is filed under the name Acer negundo (box elder). Its description in RNAcentral is "external transcribed spacer". The record is from RNAcentral. Lineage: Eukaryota; Viridiplantae; Streptophyta; Magnoliopsida; Sapindales; Sapindaceae.
AGGUGUCCGCUGCGAAAUGGGAUGCUCGGUGCCUAUGCCAUGCUUCCCCCCCCGCCCAUCUAUGAUGGGUGCCAUGGCAUAGGCACACCCCGGUCGUCGGGCUUGGUUGUCGGUUCGGCGGUCUCCGACCGUCGAUCCGACCGUCAAUCCGGCGAUCACGGCCUGGUGGGUUAGUAGUGCUGUGUUGAUCUUUUUCGAGGGGAGAGGGACGGUUCAUCUUGGAUUUUGAUUUUUCCAACGUAUUCGAAGGGAAAGCGUGAGCAUGGCUUCGGUUGUGGGAGCGUGGAAACGGAGAAUACUACGGUCGAGUCAAUAUUUGAGUUUUAACCUCUCGGCGGAGCACAACACUGUCUUUACUUUCUCAUUUGGCCGUCAAAGGGGAUUAUUCAUUAUGCUCGACCGAUCGAAACAUUCCAAAAGAAUGCGGAGAACUAGCAUGCAUCGGCUCGUGCUAGCUUGAUGAUGCAUGGUGUGUUGCGUUAGGUUGGGUAUAAUGGACAAUCGUUGGAUUUUGAAAAUUACGCCCCUGUCCCGUCGGAAAUUUUGUCCCUUGGUCUGGUGGGCUAGUAGUGCUGUGUUGAUCUUUCUCGAGGGGAGAGGGACGGUUCAUCUUAGAUUUUGAUUUUUCCAACGUAUUCGAAGUGAAAGCGUGAACAUGGCUUCGGUCGUGGGAGCGUGGAAACGGAGAAUACUACGGUCGAGUCAAUAUUUGAGUUUUAACCUCUCGGGGGAGCACAACACUGUUUCUACUUUCUCGUUUGGCUGCUAUACAGAUUAUUCAUUAUGCUCCAUAUCAAAACAUCCCAAAAAAAAUGCGGAAGAACUAGCAUGCUUCGGCUUGUGCUAACUUGAUGCAUCAUAAGGUUUGUUGCGGUGGGUUGGGCAUAGUGGAGAAUCUUUGGUUUUCAAAAAUUUUGUCCCUCGGAUUGUGUGUUUCUUCACGUGAAGCGGUGCUGGUGUGGUCUUGCUCGAUGUUUCCGCAUGCUCAGUGGUUCUAGUAAUCAUUGGGUUGUGGUUCGUUUGGUUUGGUCAUCAUCAAGUGUACGCAACUCAUGUGUGAGUGGUGGUCGGAUGGCAUGGGUCUGCAAGCUCCUUGCUCAGCGCAACGAAUUGUAAGCUCUCCAUCCUUUUCAUAGUCUUCCCCAAGCAUGGUCAUUUAUUUGCCUUGCGGGUAAGAUUGGUAUCCUGUGUUUUUUACCAAUUGAAUGGAAUUCGAUUGUUUUCAUUUCUCUAUUCGCCGGUUCCCUUAGGGGUGUUGGGUGGACGAUAGGCUGACCUCGUGUUCCAGGUACAUCUCGCAUUUUUGUGUGGUUACCAUGGCCCACCGGGUUAUGCUUGUUCUCUUGGAUGCGGAUCGUUAGUUGUGGGCGAGGGGUUACGACCUCCAUUCGUCCAAGCUAUAUUAUGCAUUUGUCAAUUGACACGAACGACUGCUGCACUCGUCUUGGCUUUCUAUAGUUGAAUGGCUGUACAAUGUCCAUGCGAGUGUCGGUGUCGUGAAGGAAUGC